Molecule: long non-coding RNA, 10804 nt
Filed under: Gossypium barbadense (sea-island cotton)
Lineage: Eukaryota; Viridiplantae; Streptophyta; Magnoliopsida; Malvales; Malvaceae
Description: long non-coding RNA (GBAR_LNC022604)
Source: RNAcentral
AGUUGAUUUUCAGCUGGAGAUUUCAGCAGCAAUGGAGGGCUAAAUUGAGCUGUUAGCACUGUAACAGACAAAAAUACCCUUACUUUUAUUUAUUAUUUUACCAUUUUAUCCUUGAAAAUUAAACUAAUUUCUUUCCCAAUCUGCAGAAAACCCUGCUCUUCAACUCCUGCUCUUCAAUUGACACUCUUCCAAAACCCCACCAACAACAAGCAGACUUAAAGAAGCUCUGUUUUUCGACUCAUCCUAUCAAUCUUGUUCUCAACUUUGAUCUGGUAAGUCAAAACCCUUCUUUUUCCACUCUAUAUAUGUGUUUGAAUUGUAUCAAAGUAGUUUCUAUUUUUCCUUCUCAUCUUGUUCUUAGCUAAGAAAAUAAUAACUAUCUGGGUUCAUUUGUUUGUGCGUGAGGUAGAAAUAUUAAAGUAUAAAAGGCUUCCUUGUGACCACAUAUACUAACAUCCUGAAGGUAGAAAUAUUAGGAUUUUAUUAGAUAAUGGUAUACAGAGAAACCUGAGAUCAUACAACAGUAAUAGAAAAGAACGUGACGGGUUACCAGGAAAAGACAUUAUUAAAAAUAUAUCACAUAUAGGAGUCCAGGAUACCAAAGGCUUUACUGGCAGUGUCAUGACAUAACAUAAGCGAUUUUAUUUGAUAAUGGUUCUUUAAUACUUUUUUGAGGGAAGACUAUAGUUCACUACUGUCUAUAUUUGGCAAUUAUCAUUUAGCACCAAACAAAAUUACUACUUUAGCCAUACCUGUUUACUAUUGUUUGCCACUGAUCGGGUUGCUACUUUAGCCAUACCUUCUUUACAAAAAAUAUGGAUGAAAGUAUAAAAAAUAACCGCAUUGGGUUGCAAAUUUUUACCUGUCAUCUCUCUGAAUUUAUUUUUAGCUUCAUCUAUCUUUCUUGCUUUGCAUAGAGCACUAAUUGAGUGACUCCUACAAAUUGCACAAGGUCCAAUAGAAAACAUGCAGGAAAGUAAAACUCAAUCAUGAAUUAAUGAUCUACAACUAGUUUUACAGCCAGAAUGGGAAUGGGAACAAGAGAAUGACAAGCAACAUCACAAAUAACAUCCACAACUUACUUUCGAACAUUUUCAUCAUAGUCUAAAAGCCGAUCACAUAGGGUAGCUAGAAAAUUUAGAACAAUGUCAAAAUUAGCGAACUAACAUAAAUAACUAUAUAUUUUGAGAAAAGAAAAAUCAAAAGAAACUCACAGAUUAUUUGAGGAGCCUCAGGUCUAGAGGGAUCUGACAACAGACAGAUCUUAACAUGUUCGAGGACAGACAUUCUAACAUCGACAACUCUAUCAAUCAACCUCUUCAAAAAUUCUGAAAAUAUUGGCUGAAUUGUUUCACAUAUAUUAGCACCAGGCAGAGCAAAAAGGGAUCCAACCAAUCUCACAGCUCUUAAACGAGUGUCUUAUUGAUUAGCCUGCAUAUAUUGGAAUUUAUAAUUUAUAAACCUCAGAAACUGUCAAUCAACUCCAACCAUCUUUGAACUCAUUUUCCAAACUUAAGACUAAACUAUGACAAAUCCAUAAUAUGAAGGAAAGAAAAAGAAAAAGCCCUCAUUUUCACAAAGGUUGAACCUAAACUCUCCAAAACCACAAACAUUUCAUCCUCGAAAAGAUUAUAAGAAUUAUUUUAGAAUAUAAAAAAAUUCUCAAAAACAACAAAUAAAUAUGUCUUCAAAUGGACGACAAAAUCUUAAAGCAGUUAAGUAAUUAGUGGAAAUGAAAAAUAAUUUUUGUGCUCAUACCAACAGCUCUCCUGUGAGGUAUGUGACAACUCCUGACAGUAUCUGAGGAGCACAAUGAUAAAUGCCAUAGAUAACUUCAUGAUAGUCAAUUUCACUUUUUAUUAAUUGAUUAUCUCCAGACAUCACUGAAAUAAGAAUUUGUUUUAUGCCAGCUUCAAGUUUUUUUCUAAACACUGCUCUAUGACAUUCAUAGCAAGUCUCCUGGCAGCUUGAGUAACACCUUGAGAUUAUAGAUUCCAGAAAUCAAUUUCCUUCAGAAUUAUAAUUCCUGGGGGAUAAAAAUAAGAAGCCAUACAAUUUGUAAGCAAUAAGCCAAUAGCAAAUAUGAAAUUCUUACACUUUUAUUACGACCUAAUGCAGACAAUAUAACAAGUAAAAGAUCAUCUCGAACAUCUUCACUCUCUUUUAACACCACAAUCAUGAUUGUUUGCAUAGCUGAUAAAACACUUUCUGGAUGAUCAUCCCUGCAAUAUGUAGUUAACAUCAGUCCUCCAAUCCAAGAUAAUUCAAAACAAACAGGAAAAGGAUUUAAACAACAUGCAGAUUCUUACUAUAAAAGCAACUUAAGGGAAGAUGGAACUUUCAAGUACCAACCCAACCACAAGACAGACAUGCACACACAAAUAGAUAUGCUCAAGAUACUACAAUGAACAAAAAGAGGUUGCAGGCAUAUCUUAGCCACUGCACUAAAGUGAAAUACUAAGACCAAUAUCAUAUUGUACCAUAAAGCCAUUUCAAAAUUCUAUAUUCAACAAAAACAAAAGCACUCAUGUUACAUGCAACGCAUACUUUUUGGUAAGCAGAACCGAUGAGUAAACGGUUCUUGACAUUAAAUAAAUAAUGGAAUAAAACAUUAAAUAAAUAAUGGAAUAAAACAUACCUUACAACAGAAAAAAAUGUACUGAACAUUUCAUUAACCAAAUCAUCACAUUCAAGAUCCAACAUCACAACACAUGAUCUAUAUUUCGCAAGAGUCUCCAAAAUUACAACUAUCAAGUUAAAAAUAUCUUGUUAGGCAAAAUCCCAGAACUUCUCAUCAAAUCCAAAAGCUCCAACCCUUUAUUAGCAAGGCCAAACCUACAAUACCCACGAACGAAAAUCCCAAAACUAAACUCAUUCGGCAAGCAACCUUUCUCAGGCAUUUUAUCAAACAACUAUCAGGCAAGCAUUUAGAGACUAGCAAAUACUAACAAUAUUCAGAAGCACAAUAAUAAAAUGUAUUUAUCACCCAAUGCUAGGGUAGGAUCGCAUUCACUCACUGCAGCUUUUUCUUCUAUCUUCUCUUUUCUACAUCCAAAAAAUUUUGCAACAAAAAUUAGCAUAUAUAUGCUUCAAAUAGGAAAGGUCAAAAGAACUGCAUGGUGUUUCUGCAUCAGAAACUUGUGGUACUUGGCAAAAAUAGGUUAGGACAGCAAAUGUGAAAACAAACAAUAAUGAUGUUUAAUAACUUACCCUUCUUCACAUGCAUUGCUCUCUGCUAAAACAGCUAGCAAUGCUUACACGGCAUGCAGUGAAUGGGACAAGGUAAUUUUCUCUAGUUCCUCGGAAAAAGGUUUCUAAUAACUUGGGUUUUGUUUGGAUACCAAGAAAGUACAGUAGGCAAGACUCUUGAGGAAAUAAGCAAAAGCGAAAACGUAUAUAUACGAGUAUAGGAUUUGGAUGAAUGUUCUGAAUGGGAAAAAGUGGUGUAAUGCAAAAGGUAAUAUAAUGAGUUGUAAGGUAGACACGUAGGGCGACGUGGCAGUACAGGUUACAACGUGCCCUUCCUCUCACAUGCAGUGGACACAUGCAAAGGGUAAUAUUUGCUGGUUUUGAUUCGAUUUGAACGAAAUGUGCUAAUUAAAUGAACGAAAUAUUUACUUGUCGGGUCAAAUUGUCUUAGAGUGUCCUCCAAACAAAUAUCUUCUAUGGUCCAUCAAAAAAUGAGGAAAAUUUCCACCUUGAGUUGUCACAAAUACCUUACUAUGAAGGCAACCAAUAUAAUCUAUGCCAGCCAUCUUGGAAGAAAAGUUCUGAAAGCAGUAAUCCCAUCAAAGAGAUGAUAAUAAUCCAAUCUCAAAGGCAUUACUUAAAGGAAAAUGGGUGGUCAUGUGAUAGCCUGAAAUAGGGCCUAAUCGGAAUAGUGGUUUCGUAACCACAAAUCCGAAGUGAAAUAGUUUAAUUUUAUAAAUUUUUAUUAGUUACUGAUUGAUUGAAAUAUUGUGUGAAAAUAUGGAUAGGAAAUUUUAAUGCUUUAGUGCUUAAUUGAAUUUUUAGGACUAAAUUGAGAAAAAUGCAAAGUGUGUCUAAUUAGUGAUUAAAUGACUUAAUUGAAUUAUUGCAUGAAAUUGGAAGUGUUUAUGUGGCAAUUAGACCAUAAAUUAGUGUUAUGGACACAAAAGGGUAUUUCUAGAAAAAUAUCUAAGUAAUGGGUCAAGGGCAUUUUUGUCCAAAUUGGGUAAAAGACAAAAUAAAGAGAAAAUAAGUGUCCAUCUUCUUCAAAAAAAUCAGAAGCUUGCUGCCGAAAGUUUCAGGUUACCAUAGUCGACUAAAUUACAAAAAUAGUCGUUUUGCAUCCGAGGUAAGUUAUAUGUAAAUAAUAGUUAUAUUUGUAUAAAUUGUGAAUUAUAUUUGAUAUGUGAAUUAAUAUUGAAUGUGGAAGGAAAGUUGUUCAUGAAUUAUUCAAGUGAUAAAGUGUUGAAAAUAAAGUGUUAAGUGUAAAUUCCCGGUUGAACAUGAAAGUUGUUCAUGAAUUAUUCAAGUGAUAAAGUGUUGAAAAUAAAGUGUUAAGUGUAAAUUCCCGGUUGAACUUAGGAAUAGAAUUGGAUACAAGUGACAUGUCACUAGAGACCAGUGUUACAGUGUUACAGUGAGUCCCGGGUGCUGGGUGAUCUAGCAUGUGUUGCAGACACCUGACAGCUUGUGUGAGCAGACCCGUGGACAUUUCCAGUCUUAUUGAUCAAUGGUAGCUUCGGCUACAUUUCAGUGGUAGCUUCGGCUACAUAUCAGUGUGACACUUAUGUGCUAAAUCUCUACGUAUCCGUGUAUAUUCCAAGUGUUCAACGGGAUUAAUAAUGAAUUAAAGUGAAUAUGAAAUGUUAAGUGUGAAAAUGUAUAUGCAAGUGAAUUGGUAAGAUUGUGUAUGUGUAAGUGAUUGAAAUUGCUAAGAAAUGUUUUGAUUAGUUAUAUGUUAAAAGUGUUAAUUAUUAAUUGAGUAAUUAUUGUUUACAUGUAACUUACUAAGCUAUUUAUAGCUUACACAUCUCUUUCUUUCCUUUGUUUUAUAGUGAUUUGAACUUGAUCGAAUAGUGGACCGUCGGAGCUCGUAUCACACUAUCAUAACCAUCUCGGUAUUAUGUGCUUUUCAAAAUGUUUAAACUAUGGCAUGUAUAGAGUCUUAAUCAUUUUGAGCAUGUCCAAAUGAUAUGGCUAAUGUUAGCUAUUGAAGUAGUUAUUAAAGAAUAUGUUUUGGAGUUAUGUAUGUUUAAAUGGUAACUAAUUCAAAGAAGCAGUUUCUUUGACAGCAGUAGUGAUGUGAAUGUGAAAAAUCACCAUAAAUAGUAGAAAUGGAAUUAAAGGGUGAAUGAUAUAUAGAAUUAAAGCUUAUCAAGUCUAUUUUUACAUGAAAGAAACGGUGUAGGCAAAGGAAUUUUAUAUUUUGAGAUAUUUAAAUUUUAGUGAGACAGGGUCAGAAUGGUUUUUGAAGUCCCCUGUUCUAACUUUAGAAAAUCAUUAUAAAUUUUACAGAAAUAAUUAUAGGUCAUAAUUUAUAUGUUCAGAUUCCUUAGUGAGUCUAUUUUCAAAAUAAAUUAAUGGUAACCUUAUAUGAAUUCUGUACAAUUAGAUAUUUGAUUUUUAGCUCCAAGAGGUCAGAUCUGUCGAGCUGUGAAACAGGGGAUACUUUAAUGAAUAAACUGUACUAAUUUGCUAAGUCAAAAAUUCUGAAAAUUUUAUGGUAAGUAGGAAUAUGAGUCUAGUUUCAUGGAAAAUUUACGGAUUUAAAUUUUGAGUUUUGUAACUCAAGUUAUAAUUAAAUUAGUGACAGUUGCGCAGGUGGACAGUGUUGUUAUGAACAGUGAAUUUAAUUUUAAAAGUAAAUUUUUAUGCUCCGAAUCGGUAAGUUAAAUUGGAUGACAUCUCGUACUCGAUUCCGGAGACGGUCUUGGGUAAGGGGUGUUACAUUUAGUGGUAUCAGAGCUACGGUUUAGUCGAUUCUCGGACUAACGUAGCGAGUGUAAUAGACUAUCUAUACAUGCCAUAAGUGAAUAAUGAUAGUGUGACGACUCCUGACAUCUUAAAAUGUUUUUUAUAGUAAUGGAUUCUAACCGAGAUACAGCUGAUGAUGCUCAAAGUAAUGUGCCUGUUGAAAGUCGAUUCGAGACUUAGGGUCAAGGAGAUGAGGCUCGAGAAGCUUUUCUCCAAAUGAUGAACAAUUGGUACACUGAGUUUGUUAGAACUAAUCCUAAUGCUCAACCUCCUCCGCCCCCUCCUAUUCCUCAAGCUGUUCCCAUAGCUCCUCAACAAACUGAAGUGAUAAAAUUGUCAAAGCCUCUAGUGGACAAAAUUCGAAAGUAUGGAGCCGAAGAGUUCCGAGCUAAUGUAAAUGAUGAUCCUGAAAGAGCAGAGUUCUGGCUUGAUAAUACUAUCAGAGUGUUAGAUGAAUUAUCUUGUACUCCAGAAGAAAGUCUCAAAUGUGCUAUCUCAUUGCUGAGGGAUUCGGCUUAUAAUUGGUGGAAAACUUUAGUGUCAGUGGUGCCUAAAGAGAAAGUUACAUGGGACUUCUUUCAAGAAGAAUUCCGGAAGAAGUAUGUGAGUCAGCGUUUCAUUGAUCAAAAGAGAAAAGAGUUUCUUGAAUUGAAACAAGGGCGCAUGACGGUAGCCGAAUAUGAGCGAGAAUUUGUCAAAUUAAGCAAGUAUGCCCAAGAGUGUGUAUCUAAUGAAGCUACAUUGUGUAAAAGGUUUGAAGAUGGAUUAAACGAGGAUAUCCGAUUGCUAGUGGGAAUUCUUGAAAUUAAAGAGUUAGUGGUACUAGUUGAAAGAGCUAUCAAGGCUGAAAAAUUGAGCAAAGAGAAAAGAAAGGUGGAAAGUGAAGCAAGAGAUGAAAGAAAAAGAUCAAUGAGCAAGCCAUUUCAGUCUCAAGCGAAGAAGUUUAAAGAAAUGAAUACUCGAUCGAAUGUUUCUAGUGUGAAUUUUCAAAGAGAUCGAGGAAGACAAUAUUCAGGUUCUAAAGCUCAGGCAACUUCUAUGGCAAGUACAGGUAGUGUUAAACCUACUAGACCGGAAUGUCAAUAUUGUGGAAAACGACAUUUGGGGGAAUGUUAUUUAAUCAGCCGAGCUUGUUUUAAAUGUGGAUCUCAAGAUCAUUUUAUGAAAGAUUGUCCGGAAAGAGAAGAGAUAUAAAAGUUUCAGAAUGUGAGAUCGAGCAGUGUGACUACUAGAGGAAGACCACAGAGAAAUGUGGGGAUUGGAACUAGUGGUAGAGGCGUAACAAAAGACACGACUGUAAGAUCUGAAGUGGGAGCUCCAGCAAGAGCUUAUGCCAUCCGAGCUAGAGAGGAAGCAUCUUCUCCUGAUGUGAUCACUGAGUUAAAAGCUAGACCAUUGUUUCUUCAAGAAAUUUGUGAGGCUCAGAAAGUGGAUAAUGAAUUGCAAAGAAGAAAGACUCAGUGUGUAGUGGACAAUAAUUCUGAAUUUCAGAUUGAUUCAGAUGGAUGUUUAAUGUUUCGUGAUAGAAUAUGUGUUCCGAAAAAUGUUGAUUUAAUUCAGAAAAUUUUGCAAGAAGCACAUGAUAGUCAUUUGGCAGUUCACCCCGGUAGUGUAAAAAUGUACAAUGAUUUGAAGAAAUUUUAUUGGUGGUCGGGUAUGAAACGGGAUAUCUCCGAGUAUGUGACAAAGUGUUUAGUGUGCCAACAAGUAAAAGCUGAACACCAAGUACCUUCAGGAUUACUUCAACCUAUUAUGGUGCCCGAGUGGAAAUGGGAUAGAAUUACUAUGGAUUUUGUUUCUGGAUUGCCAUUGUCACCGAAAAAGAAAGACUCAAUUUGGGUUAUAGUUGAUCGAUUGACUAAGUCGGCUCAUUUCAUUCCUGUGCGAAUGAGUUUUUCACUUGACAAGUUAGCUGAAUUGUAUAUUGCUGAGAUAGUCCGAUUACAUGGUGUACCUAUGUCUAUUAUAUCUGAUAGAGAUCCACGAUUUACUUCAAGGUUUUGGAAGAAAUUACAAGAGGCAUUGGGUACUAAAUUGAAUUUUAGUACAGCAUUCCAUCCCCAAACCAAUGGACAGUCUGAAAGAGUAAUUCAAAUACUCGAAGACAUGUUGAGAUGUUGUGUAUUGGAAUUUGAAGGUAAUUGGGAAAGAUAUUUACCUUUGGUGGAAUUUGCUUAUAAUAAUAGUUAUCAGUCAAGCAUAAAAAUGGCACCUUAUGAAGCGUUGUAUGGACGAAAGUGUCGGACUCCAUUAUAUUGGACUGAACUUAAUGAAAAUCAGUUACAUGGAGUCGAUUUGGUAAAAGAAACCGAAGAAAAAGUGAAGAUAAUCCGUGAUUGUUUGAAAGCUGCAUCGGAUCGACAGAAGUCGUAUGCGGACUUGAAAAGAAAAGAGAUUGAGUUUCAAGUGGGAGAUAAAGUAUUUUUGAAAGUGUCUCCAUGGAAGAAAAUUUUGAGAUUUGGCCGUAAAGGCAAAUUAAGUCCAAGAUUUAUUGGUCCGUAUGAAGUGAUAGAAAGAAUUGGUCCAGUGGCUUAUCGAUUGUCUUUACCACCGGAAUUGGAAAGAAUUCAUAAUGUGUUUCAUGUUUCUAUGUUGAGGCGAUAUCGAUCGGACCCAUCACAUGUGAUUUCAUCGACUGAAGUGGAAAUUCGAUCGGAUAUGACAUACGAAGAAGAACCGAUUCGAAUCUUGGCACGAGAAGUGAAACAGUUGAGAAACAAAGAAAUUGCUUUAGUGAAAGUGUUAUGGCAACGACAUGGGGUGGAAGAGGCAACAUGGGAAACCGAUGAGGCUAUGAGGAAACAGUAUCCCAACUUAUUCACUGGUAAGAUUUUCGGGGACGAAAAUCCCUAAGGGGGGGAGAAUUGUGAUAGCCCGAAAUAGGGCCUAAUCGGAAUAGUGGUUUCGUAACCACAAAUCCGAAGUGAAAUAGUUUAAUUUUAUAAAUUUUUAUUAGUUACUGAUUGAUUGAAAUAUUGUGUGAAAAUAUGGAUAGGAAAUUUUAAUGCUUUAGUGCUUAAUUGAAUUUUUAGGACUAAAUUGAGAAAAAUGCAAAGUGUGUCUAAUUAGUGAUUAAAUGACUUAAUUGAAUUAUUGCAUGAAAUUGGAAGUGUUUAUGUGGAAUUAGACCAUAAAUUAGUGUUAUGGACACAAAAGGGUAUUUCUAGAAAAAUAUCUAAGUAAUGGGUCAAGGGCAUUUUUGUCCAAAUUGGGUAAAAGACAAAAUAAAGAGAAAAUAAGUGUCCAUCUUCUUCAAAAAAAUCAGAAGCUUGCUGCCGAAAGUUUCAGGUUACCAUAGUUAAGGGUUUUGAUUUUCCUAAGCUCAAUUGUAAGUGAUUUCUUGCCCCGUUUUUAAUUAUUUUCGUAUUUUUAUGCUUAUUGAAGCUUGAAUUUCAUGUUUAUACUAUUUAAUUUAAAUGAAAUUAAAGUUUAAAAAUUGACCCAUUCAUGAUAUAAUUGUAAAUUGAUUAGUGAUGUUAGAUAAUGAAUGUUUAAAGUGUUAAUUACAAGUUUUACUAGAUGAAUUUCAAUGAAAAAUGUUGAAAAAGGGCUAAAUUGUGAAAGAUGGUAAAGUGUGCAUAAAGUUGUGAUUUUGUGAAAUUGAGGCCCGUUAUGAGCAUGAAAUAUGAUUUAGUGAAGUUUGAAAUUUAAGAAUUUAGAGAAUUUUAUUUUUACGAGCUUAGGGACAAAAGUGGAAUUUUUGAAAAGUUAUGGGGAAAAAUGUAAAUGUGUCAAAAUGUUGUGUAUGAAUUGUAUUUGAAUGGAAUAUUGAUAAAAUGUAUUAAAUUGUGUUAAUAUAGAUCAAGAAAGAAGAAAUAGUGCAAGUGAUCGGGGAAAAGAGAAAGUUAUCGACUAAAUUACAAAAAUAGUCGUUUUGCAUCCGAGGUAAGUUAUAUGUAAAUAAUAGUUAUAUUUGUAUAAAUUGUGAAUUAUAUUUGAUAUGUGAAUUAAUAUUGAAUGUGGAAGGAAAGUUGUUCAUGAAUUAUUCAAGUGAUAAAGUGUUGAAAAUAAAGUGUUAAGUGUAAAUUCCCGGUUGAACAUGAAAGUUGUUCAUGAAUUAUUCAAGUGAUAAAGUGUUGAAAAUAAAGUGUUAAGUGUAAAUUCCCGGUUGAACUUAGGAAUAGAAUUGGAUACAAGUGACAUGUCACUAGAGACCAGUGUUACAGUGUUACAGUGAGUCCCGGGUGCUGGGUGAUCUAGCAUGUGUUGCAGACACCUGACAGCUUGUGUGAGCAGACCCGUGGACAUUUCCAGUCUUAUUGAUCAGUGGUAGCUUCGGCUACAUUUCAGUGGUAGCUUUGGCUACAUCCAGUGGUAGCUUCGGCUACAUAUUAGUGGUAGCUUCGGCUACAUAUCAGUGUGGCACUUAUGUGCUAAAUCUCUACGUAUCCGUGUAUAUUCCAAGUGUUCAACGGGAUUCAUAAUGAAUUAAAGUGAAUAUGAAAUGUUAAGUGUGAAAAUGUAUAUGCAAGUGAAUUGGUAAGAUUGUGUAUGUGUAAGUGAUUGAAAUUGCUAAGAAAUGUUUUGAUUAGUUAUAUGUUAAAAGUGUUAAUUAUUAAUUGAGUAAUUAUUGUUUACAUGUAACUUACUAAGCUAUUUAUAGCUUACACAUCUCUUUCUUUCCUUUGUUUUAUAGUGAUUUGAACUUGAUCGAAUAGUGGACCGUCGGAGCUCGUAUCACACUAUCAUAACCAUCUCGGUAUUAUGUGCUUUUCAAAAUGUUUAAACUAUGGCAUGUAUAGAGUCUUAAUCAUUUUGAGCAUGUCCAAAUGAUAUGGCUAAUGUUAGCUAUUGAAGUAGUUAUUAAAGAAUAUGUUUUGGAGUUAUGUAUGUUUAAAUGGUAACUAAUUCAAAGAAGCAG